Molecule: transfer RNA, 73 nt
Filed under: Synechocystis sp.
Lineage: Bacteria; Bacillati; Cyanobacteriota; Cyanophyceae; Synechococcales; Merismopediaceae
Also listed under: 31 other names
Description: tRNA-Val
Rfam family: tRNA
About the family: Transfer RNA (tRNA) molecules are approximately 80 nucleotides in length. Their secondary structure includes four short double-helical elements and three loops (D, anti-codon, and T loops).
Source: RNAcentral
GGGCGAUUAGCUCAGUUGGUAGAGCGCCUGCCUUACAAGCAGGAUGUCGGCGGUUCGAGCCCGUCAUCGCCCA